UUUUUUUGUAUUGAAGGUUACAGUGACUUGUUACAUAGUUCAAUCAUGAGUGGCUUUUAAGUUCUCAACUUUUUUUUUCCUUCAAGAGAGUGCUAUUGAUUUCUAACAUCAUUGAGUGGCUGUUACCCAGGGAUGCUUUGUUCGAAUACUCAAAACAUGUGAUGAGUCUAGGUGGUUUACUCUUUGAGCUUCUCUCAGAAGCAUUAGGUUUGGAACCUGAUAUCCUGAAGAGCAAGGGGUGCUUGAAGAGUUUGCUUAUGAUCUGCCAUUAUUACCCACCUUGUCCACAACCUGACCUAACUUUGGGGACAAGUAAACACUCCGACAACUCCUUCAUCACGGUUCUUCUUCAAGACAACAUCGGUGGCCUACAAAUUCUUCAUCAAGAUUCUUGGGUUGAUGUGGCUCCUCUUCCUGGAGCUCUCAUCAUCAACAUUGGAGAUUUCUUGCAGGUAAAGUAAUAAUUGAAAAAAUAAAUAAAUAAAUACCAAAAUAUAUUUAGUUUCUUUUUUUUUUUUUUUUUAAAAGGAAUUUAGUUUCUUUUUUUUUUUAGUUUAUUUAUGUGUGUCUUUUUUUUUGGGUGUAAAUGUUAAGAUUAUUUAUGCGUUUCGGUUUUUUUUUCUUUGCAGCUGAUGACGAACGAUAAGUUUGUAAGUGUGGAGCAUAGGGUGCUUGCGAAUAGACAAGGUCCAAGGAUAUCAGUUGCAAGCUUUUUUAGCUCAAGUAAACGUGCCAAUUCCACAGUUUAUGGACCAAUGAAAGAGCUUGUGUCUGAAGAAAACCCUCCAAAAUACAGAGAUAUAACCAUAAAAGAAUACACAGAUGGAUACAAUGAGAAAGGUCUGGAUGGAACAUCACAUCUCUUGAAUUUCAGGAUAUGAAAACAAAACUACAGAAAAAGAAUUUUAAGGUGUUUCUUAGCAUGAAUUACUCUUUUCUUGGAUCUUCAAUAAUUAAACCAGUAGUGUACCAAAUUGCGUGUGUGCGUAUAUACGUACCAGACACUAUAUGUGGAUCUUUAUACGUUUGUCAUAUGUAUCAGUCUGUAUCUUUCUACUUUAGUCAUAUGUAUCAGAUUAUACAGAAGUGAAAUGCACUGCAUGUACUGAUCAUAAGAACUUCCACAUUUUACAUUACAUAAAAAAUGUCUAAUGUUCAUUCAAGUUCAUUUUUUAUUUUUUUGCUCUUUUUUUCUUGAUGGGGUAAAUCAAAGAAAUUAAAAAUAAUGCUUGCUGAUUGGAGUUCCUCAGAGAUUUUUGUAUUUUUUUUUGGUAAAAGAUAUUUUUGUAUUUUACAACAUAUAUAUUGUUUUAUCGUAAAUUCGUCAAAAAGAUUCAUGACGGAUGGUAGUUGUCGGACAUAUAUUUAAUUUCUUAUUUAUCUUUAUAUGACAUACUUUUAUGUUUCACAAAAACUAUCAUUCAUUUUUUUUAGUUUUAAAAAGAAUGUCAUUUUGUAUUUACAAUAUCACUUAUAUAUUUAAUCUCUUAUUCACCCUUUAAAAUAACCAAAAUAUUUGUAUAUAAAUUAUUUUUUCAUUUAAUUAAUUGUAUAUUAAAUAAUAGUAAAUAUUUUAUAAAUUUUGUACGUGUGUGAAAGAUACCAAAACGAUAUUUUUUGCGAAAUGAAAAUAGUAUAAAUUAUUGAUUAUAAAUCAAGUACGUAAUUUUUACAAUUUGUAAUAAAUCAUUAUUAAAAAAGUUUAACAUUAAUUACUAUUUUAUAUUAGUAAAUGCAUUUUUGUUAGAUGUAAAAAGGAAAAGUAUCUCCUAAAUUUCAGCACUUGAGUUUCAGUAAUUAAAGGUGAAUCUAGGGCUAUUUGCAUUAUUAGGUGAUUAGACCUUAGCAUAAAACAAAAGUGGAGAAGAAAAAUUCAAUUACAACUUGUAGUCUGACAAAGCCAGUAAUGUGUCGAGAGCAAGACAAGAUACCUAGACACAUUCGGUCCACACACAAUGAUCAAACUCAUCCGUUGAUUCCGUUCUCAAUCUUUCCUCUUUUAAUCUCAUUAUCUCCAAGCAAACAUCUUGUGGGAAAAAAACAAGAUGAUAACGAACGAUCGGUUUGUAAGUGUGGAUAGGGACGAAGCCAGAAAUUUUUUUAUAAUAGGUACACAAAUAUUAAAUAAAAUAUUAAACAAAACAUUAAAUAAACUAUUUUAGAUAUAUAUUAAAAAUAUUUUGUUUUCAAUAAAAAUGAAUAAUCAUUUAAAAAUAAUAUUUCAUUCAAUUUCGUAAAGUUGUUUCUACUAUUUCUACUGCAGAAAAAUAUUUUUCAAUACUUAUCGUUGCAACUUGUAAAGUCAAAAUCAACUUGAAAAAUCUAUAAACUAAAAAUAAAAAUUAUUAAGUAAUAAACUAUUUUUUUCAUCGUCGAGAUAAAUCUAAUUAAAACUGAAAACGUAACAUAAUUCAAAUAUGAAAUCUACCAAAAAUAUGACUAAUGAAACGUAAAUAAAUUACAAACAUGUAAAACCUCCAAACAUCAACUGUAGUCAAAGAGUAAAGCCACUUCUAUGACUUUUGAACUUUUACUACUGAAUAAAAAACUUAGAUGAUAUCUAAAUUAAUAAUUACAAAUCGUAGACAUUGUUAGAACAACUCAAAACAUUAACAUAAAGAUUAUUAAAUUAGUUACCAGUUUUGUAUGGUAGACAAUACAAUAAAACUUUGUUAAUUUGAUUUGAUGGUUUGCACUUGCAUGUUUAAGAAGAAAAGUUUAAGCGAUUAAAUUUUUUGAGCGAAUUGUUAGGAUUUUAACAAAAAAAAAUAGAGAAUACAAUUGGGCUUUAAAGACAAUUUUAAUUUUUGAUGGGGUAAAUUAUUUUUAAUUUUUUCAUUUGGGCUUAAUGUAAAUUUUAGUGGGUGCAAUAUCAUGAAUUAUAGUGAGUGCACAUUUAAAAUUCCUUAACAAUUACAUUAAUUUUUAAAAAAAUCAUGGGUGCAUGUGCACCCCUUCCCUCCUGAGUGUGGAGCAUAGGGUGCUUGCGAAUAGACAAGGACCAAGGAUUUCAGUUGCAAGCUUUUUUAGCUCAAGUAAACAUGCCAAUUCCACAGUUUAUGGACCAAUGAAAGAGCUUGUGUCCGAAGAAAACCCUCCAAAAUACAGAGACAUAACCAUAAAAGAAUACACAGAUGGAUAUUUUGAGAAAGGUCUGGAUGGAACAUCGCAUCUCUUGAAUUUCAGGAUAUGAAAACAAAACUACAGAAAAGUGUUUCUUAGCACCAGUUACUCUUUUCUUGGAUCUGCAAUAUAUAUCAGACUAUAUGUGGAUCUCUCUACUGAAGUCAUAUGUAUCAAGAGGUUUGUAUUUGGGACUGAUAAUUUACUAAUGCAUUUAUAUCAAGAGAUUUAUAUUUCAAAUUUCUAAAAUGAUUUAGUAACAAUUAUACAAAAUAAUAAAAAAUAGAAAAAAUGCUUAUAUAGAAUAUUCGUUAAUACAAGUAAAACCGUCAGACAUAAGGUAACUUAGUACAAAUAAAACUGUCAAAUAUGUAUCUCAUAAAGAAUAUAAAAGUAACAAGGAACUUAAUACCUCGCAAUCUGCGGUGUGAUAAUUAUUGCCCAAGAUGUGGAGAGCCAGAGGAAAAUGUAACCCACACAAUCUUUGAAUGUCCACCAGCAUUACAAGCAUGGGAACUAUCAUCUACGCCGUCAAACCCCCAAACUUUCCCCAUAUCGAGUAUGUACGCCAAUAUAGACUACCUUUUCUGGAGGAAAAAUACAAUUAGAAGGCCAGAAGAUGAUAGAGACCCUUACCCCUGGAUAAUGUGGUACAUAUGAAAGACGAGGAAUGAUAAGCUAUUCAGGGGGAUUGACAGGGACCCUUUAGAACUGGUCAGGUACGCAGAGAGUGAAUGUCAGGCUUGGUAUAAUGCUAAGGAGUCUAUACCUAUACCCCCACAGGCACCAAACACUGAAGUGGUACAAGCCUUAAGCUUGAAUAAUAUGUGUAUGGUGGAUGGCUCUUGGACAUCCACAGAUCUUUUCAGUGGAAUUGGAUGGGUAUGGAAGGAUAACACGGAAAAGAUCCAACUUAUGGAAACACGGAACUUAAGGAGGCGGAAGACAGCACUACACUCGGAAUUGGAAGCAUUGAAAUGGGCACUGGAAAGCAUGCUUCAACAUUCAAACUGCCAACACUUUGGAACAGAUUGCAAGGACCUGAUAGCCAUGAUAAAAGAACCCCAAGCCUGGCCAAACUUUUCAACGGAGCUGGAAACCAUUCAAAUUAUCCUCAUGUGUUAUUCGGAUUUCAAGAUCACCUAUGUGCCAAGAACACAUAAUAAAAUUGCUGAUUCUUUAGCUAGGAAUCCUCGAUCUUUUCAUAGAUCUCUUUGUUUUAUUGGUUGUUAUAUUCCGGUCUGGUUACCCAGACCACCUCAUGUUUGAGUAAUAGAAUAGCCGUUUGUUGACAAAAAAAAAGAAUAUAAAAGUAUUGGUAAUAAAAUCAUACAUGUAAUAAUUCUUAUAAUUUGUAACAAAAUAAUAAAUAUUUAUUUUACAGUAAUAGUAUUAAAAAGUUUAACACAAUAUUAUUUUACAGUAAUAGUAAAUACAUUUUUGUUAGAUGUAAAAAAGUAAAAAUAUCUCAACUUCAAUCUAGGGCUAUGUGCAUUACAAAGUAAUAAGACAUAUUGGAGAAGAAAUAUCCAAACUACAACUUGUAGUCUACAACAACUCACAAAGCCGGUGGUGUCUCGAGAGUCGAGAGAAACAGACAAGAUUAAUGUAAUCAUCAUAGACACAUUCGGUCCCACACACUAAUGAUCAAACUCCAACCAUCUGUUGAUUCCAUCCACAAUCUUUCCUCUUUUAGCUUGCUUUAUCUUCUUCUAUUCUAAGCAAACAUUUGUGAAGAAAAGGAGACAACAAUGGUGACUGAAACCUCGAUUGAAUUCGAUCCUUAUAUGGAUCGCAAAGCUUUCGAUGAGACGAAAGGAGGAGUAAAAGGGUUGGUCGACGCUAAAAUCACCCAAGUCCCUCGUAUCUUCCAUGUCCCUCAAGAUUCCUUGACCGGCAAGAAACCCUCUGUCUCAGACCUAAAAAUCCCUACCAUCGACUUCGCUAGCGUCCACUUGGACACAGCGUCACGUGAAGCCAUUGUAGAGAAGGUCAACUAUGCGGCUGAGAAGUGGGGAUUUUUCCAGGUCAUCAACCAUGGCGUUCCUUUGAACGUUCUUGAAGAGAUUAAAGAUGGAGUUCGUAGGUUUCACGAGGAUGAUCCUGAGGUCAAGAAACGAUAUUUCUCGCGUGAUAGUGCCAACAAAAAGUUUGUAUACUAUAGUAACUUCGAUCUAUACAGUUCUUCGACUUCUGUUAACUAGAGAGAUACUUUCACUUGUUACAUAGCUCCCGAUCCUCCAUCUCCUGAGGAACUCCCAGUGACUUGCAGGUUACGGAAACAGACUUUUAACUUCUUCUUUUUUUUUUUUGUAUUGUAUAGAAGGUUACAAAUAAACUGAAUCUAAUCAUCAAUCAGAGCUGCAAUAGGUAGAUAAAUUUCAGUGUGGUUAAAGUGUCACAUACUUAAUUCCUGUUUAUUUCGGUUUGAUAGGAUCGAUUUUUAUUUAUGUUUGGAUAGCAAAAUAUGUCUCAAGUUUUACAGACUUUCAAAGAGAUUGAAGUUUUAAUUAAUUGGUUAAAGCCAAACCGUUUAGUAUUUCUUAGUAUUGGUUAAGCCAGAUUGAUCAGCCUAGCUAGGUAAACAUCGGUUGUCAAAGCAUGUGGUUAUCAAUUAGUCUCUUUAAAAUUCUAACUGUUUAGCUUGUUAUUGAUUUCAAAUGUCAUUGAUUGACUCAGGGAUGCUAUGUUCGAAUACUCAAAACAUGUGAUGAGUUUAGGUGGUUUACUCUUUGAGCUUCUUUCAGAAGCACUAGGUUUGAAAUCUGAGACCCUUAAGAGCAAGGAGUGCUUGAAGACUUUGCUUAUGAUCUGCCAAUAUUACCCACCUUGUCCUCAACCUGACCUAACUUUGGGGAUAAGUAAACACUCAGACGAUUCCUUCCUCACGAUUCUUCUUCAAGACAACAUCGGUGGUCUACAAAUUAUUCAUCAAGACUCUUGGGUUGAUGUCGCUCCUCUUCCUGGAGCUCUCAUCAUCAACAUUGGAGAUUUCUUGCAGGUAAAGCAAAAAUUUGAAAGAAGAAAAAAAAUCACAGAUACAAAAUAUCUUUAGUUUAUUUAUGUGUUUGGGUUUUUGCAGCUGAUAACGAACGAUAAGUUUGUAAGUGUGGAGCACAGGGUUCUUGCAAAUAGACAAGGACCAAGGAUAUCAGUUGCAAGCUUUUUUAGCUCAAGUAAACAUCACAAUAUAAUUCCACGUUGAUGGACCAAUGAAAGAGCUUCUGUCUGAAGAAAACCCUCCAAAAUACAGAGACAUUACCAUAAAAGAAUACACAGAAGGAUACUUUGAGAAAGGUCUGGAUGGAACAUCACAUCUCUUGAAUUUCAGGAUUUGAAUACAAAAUCACCUAAAAAGAAUUUUAUGGUGUUGAAAGCCAGUUCAAAAAAAAAAAGAAAGAAUUUUAUGGUGUUUCUUAGCAUCAUUUACUCUUUUCUUGGUAUCGAUGUACCAGACACUCUUUUUUUUUUGUAACACCAAUACUUUCAUUAAUUAAAAGGCCUCAGACCCAAAAAUGUCCAAGCAUAAAUGAAAUUAUGAAAUUGAAAGAGAUAGUUUAGCUAAGCGGUCGGCAUCUUCGUUGAAAGAACGCGAGAUGUGUGAGAACGAUAUCUCGACAAACGCAGAAGAGAUUUGUUGAAUAUCGUUGAUGAUACCAAAGAUCUCUUUCGCCUGCGCAUCGUUGUUGAUUGCUCUAAUGAGCGUUGAGUUGUCAGAGAGCAUCCGGAGCUUAGGGAGCUCGAGCUUCACUGCGUCGAUCAGUCCAGCACGGAGCGCCAGCGCUUCCGCUACUAGAGGUGAGGGUACAAAUCCAUGGGUCUUCGAUUCUCGGUAGAUCAUGCUUUCUGAUGGCUUAUUGAUGAUCCAUGCGAGGCCUGCUCUCCUUGAUUGAGCAUCGUAAGCUGCGUCCGAUUUGCAUAUCGGUGUAUCGUCGGUGUUGCUUCUGGUCUGAGGCUUUCUCUUCGAUUGGGGUAAGGCGUUCGUUGAUUGUACGUAUCUGAUGAGAUUGUGCAUUUAUCCAUUCUCUUGCCAGUCUUAACGCCUUGGUUGAUACUUCUGUAGGAGUAAGGGUUCGCUUUUCAAACAAGAGCGUGUUACGAGCUGUCCACAAAGCCCAACACACCCAUGGGAGAAUAGUUGAGGAGACUCCCGAAGGUGAGAGGCAGAUUACUCUCCUAAACGCAAUCACCGCCUUCUUGAAGUCGACCUCCGUAGCUAGGUGAACUACUUGUCGUAAAGGGAUUAGUUUCCAGACUUCCUGAGCAAAAGGGCAGUUGAAAAAGGUAUGCAUUGCAGAUUCUACCCCUUUGCAUCUUACACAUAGCACCUCUGAUUGAAUGCCUCUUCGUUGCAGUAGUUCUCCGAGGGGAAUGGCUUCUAGUAUGAUGGACCACAUGAAGAGCUUCAUCUUUGGUGAGCAUUUUGCGUUCCAUAUAUCUUUUACCCACUCAAAGGCAUCAGGCAUAGGUUCUUGUAUACGUUGCCCUUUCAUAGCCGCUGUAUAGUAACCUGACUUUGUUGUGUACUUGCCUGUUUGUAGUGGUUGCCACACAUAGAUGUCUUCCGUGGAUUGGUUCCCUGGGUGGAUCAUCUGGAUUUCCUCUGCCACAAGAGGUAACAAUUCUUCUACUCUCUUCUUGUUCCAUUUCAUGUCUGAGGUUAGAAGGUCUGAAACCGUAAGAUCCAUAGCCGCUUCAGGGAUAGGUCCAAAUGGUUUGAGGUUCUUAUCCAAUGAUAUCCAUGAGUCUUUCCACACCUUGGUAGCUAAGCCGUUUCCUAUUGCUUUACCCACAUUGUCUCUUAGGAGUUCCCUACCAUGUAGGAUGCUUCGCCAUCCAUGGGAGCAAACCGUAGGGAUGGUAACCUCCAUAAAGUUUUUGUUGUGGCAGUAUUUGCCUAGUAACACUCUCGCUAGUAGAUAGGUUGGGUUGGUUAAGAUCCUCCAUGCUUGUUUAGCCAGUAGAGCUUGAUUAAAUAAUUUGAUAUCCCUCAGUCCCAAAUCCCCACCUGCUUUUGGUUUUGUGAGUCUGUCCCAAGCCACCCAGCACAUUUUUUUGGUUCCAUCAGACGUGUCCCACCAGAAACGAGUCAGAACUGACUGAAUCCUUUUACACAAACUGACAGGUAACUCAAAGCAAGACAUUGUGUAUGUGGGGAUUGCUGUUAGGACCGCUUUCAGCAUGGUUAGUUUACCAGCUUUGGAGAGGUGUCUUGUCGACCAACUCGAGGCUCUCUGUCUUAUACGAUCCACUAGCGCCGUGAAGAGAUCCUUCUUCCUUCUCCCGAAAUGUUCAGGUAACCCAAGAUACUUUCCUUGUCCUCCUUCAUUUGCAAUUCCAAGAGCUUCCUUGACUAAUACUUUUGUUUCUUCUGGUGUCUUGGAGGAGAACGUGAUUGAAGAUUUGUCGGUAUUAAUUUUUUGCCAUAUGGAUCAGACUCUAUAUGUGGAUCAUUCUACUUUAGUCAUAUGGAUCAGACUCUAUAUGUGGAUACUUCUACUUUAGUCAUAUUUAUCAAGACUAUACAGAAGUGAAAUGUAUUGCAAGAAUUGAUCAUAAGAACAUCCAGAGCCGGCUUACAAGGCGAUAAAACUCCCCCGGGUCUAAUAUGAAGUCCUCUAUGUUCUUAUAAUUAAUUAUUAUAAUUACGAGUCUUACUUUUAAAUAUAGAUGUUUUAUAUUAAAAAUACAUUUAAAAAAUUUCAAAUUAUAUAAUUAUAUUUGUAUAUGUAGAUUUUUAUUUUAUAACAUAACUUUUAAAAAAUAUUAGUUGUAAUUUUUGUUUAUAAACAUGUAGUAAAAAUUUCAAACAAAUAUGUAUAUCGAAGGUCUGAUUUUCUUUUGCUCAAAGUUCCAACAAACACAUGUCUUUUUAGUAAUAAACUAGAAUUGAAAUAACAAAUCGCGAGAAGAGAGAAAAGAAGAAAAAGACUUGGAUUAUAUGGAUGUUUGGCUGGGAUGUAAUUUUAAAAAUUUUAAUGUAAAAUUCAAUAUUUAGGAUUUUUGGUGUAUUUAUAUCUGAUGUAAGUUUAAGAACUAAAUGAAAAAGAAAAAAAAAUAAAAAAAUUCUACAUAAAUAUAUUUUUCUUGCAUUUUACUAAAUAAUGUUUUAGAAAAUAUGGUUCAUACAUUCAUUUCUUUAUUUUUCUUUAUGUAGCCUUAGACACUAAAUAAAUCAUAACUGGUAACCUUUAUGGUUGUCAUUAUAAGUAAAAUUAAAGCUAAAGACACUUAAAAAAUCUAGUAUUUGUAAAGAAAAGUAAUGCGACAAAAUGCUGGGUCAGGGCAACCAUGUAAGUCUUAUUGUAAUUGUGGUGAAUUAUAACUUAAAUUCAAGUCUAUCUUCAAAUUUCUCUACGUUAAUCCACUUGUUUGUAGUUGUAAAAAAUCUCUCCCCAGUUCAACUACGACAACAAAAGUCAUUAACAUAGAAGAAAAACGGAGAAGAAAAAAUCAACUAGGACAAGUCACUAAGUUUGUGGGUGUAAGUGAGAUGGAGUGAAGAGUCAAAAGCUACUACCCAACUAAUCAUCCACCGAUCACUUACGGUCAGAGAAUUCAACAAAGUCGGAUAUUUCUUUUUAUAUACUCUCUCCGUUUCAUAAUAGAUGAUGUUUUGAAAAGUUAUUAAUGUUUCAAAAUACAUGAUGUUUGAUAUUUUUUAAUUAAUUUAAAGCUUAUGGAAAACUGUGUUUUUAUAGUAUUUUUGAUGAUUGGUUAGAUUAGAUUUAUUUUAUAUUUUUAGUAUUACUUUUUAGGAAAAUGUGUAUGUCUUAAUUUUUAUGCUUUCAUCCAAAACAUCAACUAUUUUUAAAGAGAAGAAGUAUUAUUGAUAUUGCUUUAUCCUCUUCUAAGCAAACAUCUCGAGCUGUCAAAAAAAAAGAAGCAAACAUCUCGAAAUAGAAAAUAAGAAAAUGGGAACCUCGGUCGAAUUCGAUCCUUAUAUGGGGCGCAAAGCUUUCGACGAGACGAAAGAAGGAGUAAAAGGGCUGGUCGACGCUAAAAUCACUGAAGUCCCUCGUAUCUUCCACGCCCCCAAAGAUGCCCUGACCGACAAGAAACCCUCUGUUCCAGACCUAGCGAUACCUACCAUCGACUUUGCAAGCGUCCACGUGGACACAGCGUCACGUGAAGCCGUGGUAGAGAAGGUUAAACACGCGGCGGAGAAGUGGGGAUUCUUCCAGGUGAUCAAUCAUGGUAUUCCUUUGAACGUUCUUAAAGAGAUUGAAGAUGGUGGUCGUAGGUUUCAUGAGGAAGAUCCUGAGGUCAAGAAACGAUACUUCUCGCGUGAUCUCGCCAACAAAAACUUUUUCUACAAUAGUAACUUCGAUCUAUACGGUUCAUCACCAUCUGUUAACUGGAGAGAUACUUUCGCUUGUUACAUAGCUCCAGAUCCUCCAACUCCCGAGGAACUCCCAGUGACUUGCAGGUAACAGAAACAGACUUAACUUCAUUUUCUUUCUUUUUAUUUUUUUAUUAGAGGCCACAAACCGAAGCCCUAUUCAACAAUCAGAGCUCAUUUCAUUCGGAUAGUGGUUUCUAACAUUAUUGAUUGACCCAGGGAUGCUAUGUUCGAAUACUCAAAACAUGUAAUGAGUUUGGGGGGUUUACUCUUUGAGCUUCUCUCAGAAGCACUAGGUUUGGAACCUGAUAUCCUGAAGAGCAAGGAGUGCUUGAAGAGUUUGCUUAUGCUCUGCCAUUAUUACCCACCUUGUCCACAACCUGACCUAACUUUGGGGACAAGUAAACACUCAGACAACUCCUUCCUCACGAUUCUUCUUCAAGACAACAUAGGUGGUCUACAA
Molecule: long non-coding RNA, 10928 nt
Filed under: Brassica napus (rape)
Lineage: Eukaryota; Viridiplantae; Streptophyta; Magnoliopsida; Brassicales; Brassicaceae
Description: long non-coding RNA (BNAP_LNC024194)
Source: RNAcentral